RNAcentral lists this ribosomal RNA (492 nucleotides) under uncultured bacterium. Its description in RNAcentral is "partial 16S ribosomal RNA". It matches the Rfam family "Bacterial small subunit ribosomal RNA", at positions 29 to 507 of the family's 1533-position model. The record is from RNAcentral.
AGUGAACGCUGGCGGUAGGCCUAACACAUGCAAGUCGAACGGCAGCACAGUAAGAGCUUGCUCUUACGGGUGGCGAGUGGCGGACGGGUGAGGAAUACAUCGGAAUCUACUUUUUCGUGGGGGAUAACGUAGGGAAACUUACGCUAAUACCGCAUACGACCUACGGGUGAAAGCAGGGGAUCUUCGGACCUUGCGCGAUUGAAUGAGCCGAUGUCGGAUUAGCUAGUUGGCGGGGUAAAGGCCCACCAAGGCGACGAUCCGUAGCUGGUCUGAGAGGAUGAUCAGCCACACUGGAACUGAGACACGGUCCAGACUCCUACGGGAGGCAGCAGUAGGGAAUAUUGGACAAUGGGCGCAAGCCCGAUCCAGCCAUACCGCGUGGGUGAAGAAGGCCUUCGGGUUGUAAAGCCCUUUUGUUGGGAAAGAAAAGCAGCAGGUUAAUACCCCGCUGUUCUGACGGUACCCAAAGAAUAAGCACCGGCUAACUUCGUG